Molecule: ribosomal RNA, 298 nt
Filed under: Leuconostoc mesenteroides
Lineage: Bacteria; Bacillati; Bacillota; Bacilli; Lactobacillales; Lactobacillaceae
Description: partial 16S ribosomal RNA
Rfam family: Bacterial small subunit ribosomal RNA
Source: RNAcentral
GGAGGGUGCAGUAGGGAAUCUUCCACAAUGGGCGAAAGCCUGAUGGAGCAACGCCGGGUGUGGGAUGAAGGCUUUCGGGUCGUAAAGCACUGUGGUAUGGGAAGAACAGCUAGAAUAGGAAAGGAUUUUAGUUGGACGGUACCAUACCAGAAAGGGAGGGCUAAAUACGUGCCAGCAGCCGCGGUAAUACGUAUGUCCCGAGCGUUAUCCGGAUUUAUUGGGCGUAAAGCGAGCGCAGACGGUUUAUUAAGUCUGAUGUGAAAGCCCGGAGCUCAACUCCGGAAUGGCAUGGAAACUG